RNAcentral lists this ribosomal RNA (424 nucleotides) under uncultured bacterium. RNAcentral describes it as "partial 16S ribosomal RNA". It matches the Rfam family "Bacterial small subunit ribosomal RNA", at positions 360 to 776 of the family's 1533-position model. The record is from RNAcentral.
AAUAUUGGACAAUGGGCGAAAGCCUGAUCCAGCCAUGCCGCGUGUGUGAAGAAGGUCUUCGGUUUGUAAAGCACGUGAAGUUGGGAGGAAGGGUCGUAGGUUAAUAGCCUGCAAUUUUGACGUUACCAACAGAAUAAGCACCGGCUAACUUCGUGCCAGCAGCCGCGGUAAUACGAAGGGUGCAAGCGUUAAUCGGAAUUACUGGGCGUAAAGCGCGCGUAGGUGGUUCGUUAAGUUGGAAGUGAAAGCACCGGGCUUAACCUGGGAACGGCUUUCAAAACUGGCAAGCUAGAGUAUGGCAGAGGGUGGUGGAAUUUCCUGUGUAGCGGUGAAAUGCGUAGAUAUAGGAAGGAACAUCAGUGGCGAAGGCGACUACCUGGACUGAUACUGACACUGAGGUGCGAAAGCGUGGGGAGCAAACAGG